CAAUAGCGUAUAUUAAAGUUGUUGCAGUCAAAAAGCUCGUAGUUGGAUUUCUGGUUGAAGCGACCGGUCGGGCGUUGAUUCGUCUGCACUGGAGUCGGUUUUGGCCAUCCUCUAGGAAAGUGCGUCUGGUAUUAAGUUAUCGGGCGUAUGAUCCUGGUCUUUUACUGUGAAAAAAUUAGAGUGUUUAAAGCAGGCCUUCGCCUUGAAUACAUUAGCAUGGAAUAAUAAGAUAGGACUUUGGUCUAUUUUGUUGGUUUGCAGACCGAAGUAAUGAUUAAUAGGGAUAGUUGGGGGUAUUUAUAUUCCGAUGUCAGAGGUGAAAUUCUUAGAUUUUCGGAAGAUAAACUUAUGCGAAAGCAUUUACCAAGGAUGUUUUCAUUAA
RNAcentral lists this ribosomal RNA (382 nucleotides) under uncultured eukaryote. RNAcentral's name for it is "partial 18S ribosomal RNA". It matches the Rfam family "Eukaryotic small subunit ribosomal RNA", at positions 592 to 976 of the family's 1831-position model. The record is from RNAcentral.